This 73-nucleotide transfer RNA is filed under the name Actinomycetota bacterium. RNAcentral describes it as "tRNA-Thr". It matches the Rfam family "tRNA". From Rfam's summary of the family: Transfer RNA (tRNA) molecules are approximately 80 nucleotides in length. Their secondary structure includes four short double-helical elements and three loops (D, anti-codon, and T loops). The record is from RNAcentral. RNAcentral also lists the same sequence under 1 other name. Lineage: Bacteria; Bacillati; Actinomycetota.
GCCGGAGUAGCUCAGCUGGUAGAGCAGCCGCCUUGUAAGCGGCAGGCCGUGGGUUCGAGUCCCUCCUCCGGCU